Molecule: non-coding RNA, 23 nt
Filed under: Cricetulus griseus (Chinese hamster)
Lineage: Eukaryota; Metazoa; Chordata; Mammalia; Rodentia; Cricetidae
Source: RNAcentral
ACUCCUCAUUGUAAACAGACUGU